This 820-nucleotide ribosomal RNA is filed under the name Geotrichum candidum. RNAcentral's name for it is "eukaryotic LSU rRNA". The stretch from base 253 to 820 matches the Rfam family "Eukaryotic large subunit ribosomal RNA", at positions 1 to 597 of the family's 3401-position model. The record is from RNAcentral. Lineage: Eukaryota; Fungi; Ascomycota; Dipodascomycetes; Dipodascales; Dipodascaceae.
CAAUAAUCAUUACUAGUUCAAACAAAAAUAAUCAAAACUUUUAACAAUGGAUCUCUUGGUUCUCGUAUCGAUGAAGAACGCAGCGAAACGCGAUAUUUCUUGUGAAUUGCAAAAGUGAAUCAUCAGUUUUUGAACGCACAUUGCACUUUGGGGUAUCCCCCAAAGUAUACUUGUUUGAGCGUUGUUUCUCUCUUGGAAUUGCAUUGCUUUUCUAAAAUUUCGAAUCAAAUUCGUUUGAAAAACAACACUAUUCAACCUCAGAUCAAGUAGGAUUACCCGCUGAACUUAAGCAUAUCAAUAAGCGGAGGAAAAGAAACCAACAGGGAUUGCCUUAGUAACGGCGAGUGAAGCGGCAAAAGCUCAAAUUUGAAAUCGGCCACCAGGUCGAGUUGUAAUUUGUAGAUUGUAUCUUGAGAGCGGAUUAAAGUCUGUUGGAACACAGCGCCUUAGAGGGUGACAGCCCCGUAAAAUCUAUUCUCAUUGUAAGAUACUUUCGAAGAGUCGAGUUGUUUGGGAAUGCAGCUCUAAGUGGGAGGUAAAUUCCUUCUAAAGCUAAAUAUUGACGAGAGACCGAUAGCGAACAAGUACUGUGAAGGAAAGAUGAAAAGCACUUUGAAAAGAGAGUGAAAAAGUACGUGAAAUUGUUAAAAGGGAAGGGUAUUGAAUCAGACUUGGUGCUGUUGUUCAACUGUGUUUCGGCAUAGUGUACUCAGCAGUACUAGGCCAAGGUGGGGUGUUUGGGAGUGAAAAAGAAGUUGGAAGGUAACUCUUCGGAGUGUUAUAGCCUACUUUCAUAGCUCCUCAGGCGCCUCAGGACUGC